RNAcentral lists this ribosomal RNA (253 nucleotides) under uncultured bacterium. RNAcentral describes it as "partial 16S ribosomal RNA". It matches the Rfam family "Bacterial small subunit ribosomal RNA", at positions 524 to 776 of the family's 1533-position model. The record is from RNAcentral.
UACGUAGGGGGCAAGCGUUGUCCGGAUUCAUUGGGCGUAAAGAGCGUGUAGGCGGCCAGGUAGGUCGGUUGUGAAGACUGGAGGCUCAACCUUCAGAGGUCGACCGAAACCAUCUGGCUAGAGUCCGGGAGAGGAGAGUGGAAUUCCUGGUGUAGCGGUGAAAUGCGUAGAUAUCAGGAGGAACACCGGUGGUGUAGACGGCUUUCUGGACCGUAACUGACGCUGAAACACGAAAGCGUGGGUAGCAAACAGG